AUGAAGCCUUUCGGGGUGUAAACCUACUGUUGCCCGGGACGAAACUUCUCCUUUCGAGGAGAUUGACGGUACCGGGUGAGGAAGCACCGGCUAACUCUGUGC
This 102-nucleotide ribosomal RNA is filed under the name uncultured bacterium. RNAcentral describes it as "partial 16S ribosomal RNA". The record is from RNAcentral.